CACACUCACAAAGUGGGGACCGAAAACAAAGUGGGGACCAAAUCCUCGGUCCCCACAAUGUUUAGCUUUAAAUAGGCUCUAGAGGCGCUGCUGAUAUGCCUCGUGCAGUUUUUUUUUUGAAGCCCCACCAUGAGCAAAUACCUGACUUAAGUGUGUGAGUGUGUGUUCAAGCGGUGCUCUUCAGCGCCCCUGCAGUUCAGUCUCAGAACUGCACCUGUAAGCACACCUAUGACGUCACACGCAAAGAUACACACUUUUGCAGCAGCAGCACAUGCGGUUGGUCUUGCAGGUAAGUUAAUUAAUUUGUUUAUAGUAAAUCAUAAUCGAGUUAUUCUUAAAAUGCAGUGAUCACGCAAUGUAAUGACAUGUGGUCUCGAUGUGAUGUAAUUGAAGCUGUUUUGUAAAGGAAAAUGUGGAAAAAAGUUUUUAACUCCGUGUUGAUAUGUAAGAAAGCAUUGCUGACUGCGGAGAAAAACACCAUUAAUAAACUUUUAGUUCGCGUCGAUAUUUAAGUUAAAGUUGAACAAUAGUACUAUUUUUUUCCAAUUUCGUCACGGCGUAGCGGGUCAAGGCCAAAAUGAGACGGAGGAGGAUAAACCCUAUUAAAAAUGCGGAGGAGCACGUGUUAAACGCCGUGGACAAAACUUAUGCUCUGGAAACCAAGUUCAUCAGUAAUCAUAAAGGUCGUGGAGUGUUUGCCUUGUCCCCUUUUAAUAAAGGAGAUUUUGUUGUGGAAUACCGAGGCGAAUUGAUUGACUUUAAUGAAGCAGAAAAGAGAAGAGAGGUCACUCAAAGUCCUGUCUUUUUUUUUUGACUUCAUUUGGGAAAACAAGAAGUGGUGCAUUGAUGCAACCGAGGAGAACGCCACCUUUGGAAGGCUAGUGAAUGACGACCACUUGCACCCAAACUGUACAGUAAAAAAGAUUGUUGUCCAAGGAAACCCCCAUUUGUGCCUUUUUGCAGCGAGAGAUAUUAUUCCUGGAGAGGAAAUAACAUAUGAUUAUGGACCAAGUG
This is a non-coding RNA of Paramisgurnus dabryanus, 1014 nucleotides long. NCBI's taxonomy places the organism in Eukaryota, Metazoa, Chordata, Actinopteri, Cypriniformes, Cobitidae. The record is from RefSeq and is a predicted model, not a curated record.